This 73-nucleotide transfer RNA is filed under the name Camelus bactrianus (Bactrian camel). It matches the Rfam family "tRNA". From Rfam's summary of the family: Transfer RNA (tRNA) molecules are approximately 80 nucleotides in length. The record is from Rfam by way of RNAcentral. Lineage: Eukaryota; Metazoa; Chordata; Mammalia; Artiodactyla; Camelidae. RNAcentral also lists the same sequence under 1 other name.
GCAGAUAUAGCUCAGUGGUAGAAUACAUGCUUAGCAUGCAUGAGGUCCUGGGUUCAAAUCCCCAGUAGCUCCA